Molecule: small nucleolar RNA, 129 nt
Filed under: Drosophila ananassae
Lineage: Eukaryota; Metazoa; Arthropoda; Insecta; Diptera; Drosophilidae
Description: snoRNA:GF26180
Source: RNAcentral
UCCACAGUCCCAGCUCCGCAUAGCAAUGCUCGAUGUGCUCGUGCGGCGUUUGCGACUGUCAGAAUAACUUGGCUCAUAUUAUAUCACUGUUGGCUACUCUCUCCCGAUGUGUAGUUGAUGAAAAUGUAU